RNAcentral lists this ribosomal RNA (399 nucleotides) under uncultured bacterium. RNAcentral describes it as "bacterial SSU rRNA". It matches the Rfam family "Bacterial small subunit ribosomal RNA", at positions 355 to 752 of the family's 1533-position model. The record is from RNAcentral.
UGAGGAAUAUUGGACAAUGGAUGGAAAUCUGAUCCAGCCAUGCCGCGUGCAGGAAGAAUGUCCUAUGGAUUGUAAACUGCUUUUGUAUGGGAGCAAUAAGGUCUUCGUGAAGGCCGAUGAGAGUACCAUACGAAUAAGCACCGGCUAACUCCGUGCCAGCAGCCGCGGUAAUACGGAGGAUGCGAGCGUUAUCCGGAUUCAUUGGGUUUAAAGGGUGCGUAGGCGGACUAUUAAGUCAGUGGUGAAAUCCUGCAGCUUAACUGCAGAACUGCCAUUGAUACUGAUAGCCUUGAGUUUGGUUAAGGUAGCGGAAUGUGUAAUGUAGCGGUGAAAUGCUUAGAUAUUACACAGAACACCAAUUGCGUAGGCAGCUUACUGAGCCGACACUGACGCUGAGGC